RNAcentral lists this small RNA (570 nucleotides) under Pongo abelii (Sumatran orangutan). RNAcentral describes it as "processed transcript". The record is from RNAcentral. Lineage: Eukaryota; Metazoa; Chordata; Mammalia; Primates; Hominidae.
AGAGUGAGUGGAGCAAGUCAAGAGGAGACAGGAGAGGAUGCAGAGCAGCCUCGACUCAGCUCCUGCACAACCCAUACACUGUGGAGGACAAGUGCGAGAAGGCCUGCCGCCCCGAGGAGGAGUGCCUUGCCCUCAACAGCACCUGGGGCUGUUUCUGCAGACAGGACCUCAAUAGCUCUGAUGUCCACAGUUUGCAGCCUCAGCUAGACUGUGGGCCCAGGGAGAUCAAGGUGAAGGUGGACAAAUGUUUGCUGGGAGGCCUGGGUUUGGGGGAGGAGGUCAUUGCCUACCUGCGAGACCCAAACUGCAGCAGCAUCUUGCAGACACAGGAGAAGAACUGGGUAUCUGUGACCAGCCCCGUCCAGGCUAGUGCCUGCAGGAACAUUCUGGAGAGAAAUCAAACCCAUGCCAUCUACAAAAACACCCUCUCCUUGGUCAAUGAUUUCAUCAUCAGAGACACCAUCCUCAACAUCAACUUCCAAUGUGCCUACCCACUGGACAUGAAAGUCAGCCUCCAAGCUGCCUUGCAGCCCAUUGUAAGUUCCCUGAAUGUCAGUGUGGACGGGAAUG